CGCAGGCACUUUGUUGACUCUAUAGAACCUCGGGCCAAUUGCACGUCCCCGUAACGGCGACUUUGCAUUCAUAUGUCAUCCAUACCAACUUUCGAUGCCAGUUUCUGUGCCUACUAUGGUGACCACGGGUAACAGGGAAUCAGGGUUGGAUUACGGAGAGAGAAUCUGAGAAACGGCUACCACAUGCAAGGAAGGCAGCAGGCGCGCAAAUGACCCACUCCCGACGCGGGAAGGUAGUGACG
This is a non-coding RNA of Pelobates cultripes (western spadefoot toad), 242 nucleotides long. Lineage: Eukaryota; Metazoa; Chordata; Amphibia; Anura; Pelobatidae. The record is from the annotation of a GenBank genome assembly.